Molecule: ribosomal RNA, 779 nt
Filed under: uncultured marine bacterium
Lineage: Bacteria
Description: bacterial SSU rRNA
Rfam family: Bacterial small subunit ribosomal RNA
Source: RNAcentral
UGAUCCUGCUCAGGAUGAACGCUAGCGCAGCCUAACACAUGCAAGUCGAGGGCAGCGGGAGUGCUGCACUCGCCGGCGACCGGCGCACGGGUGCGGAACGCGUAUCGAAUCUGCCUCUAUCUGGGGGAUACCCCAUGGAAACGUGGAAUAAUACCCCAUAGUAUUACUUUAUCGCAUGAUUUAGUAAUUAAAGAAUUUCGGAUAGAGAUGACGAUGCGUAUCAUUAGCUAGUAGGUAAGGUAACGGCUUACCUAGGCAACGAUGAUUAGGGGUCCUGAGAGGGAGAUCCCCCACACUGGUACUGAGACACGGACCAGACUCCUACGGGAGGCAGCAGUGAGGAAUAUUGGACAAUGGUCGAAAGACUGAUCCAGCCAUGCCGCGUGCAGGAUGACUGCCCUAUGGGUUGUAAACUGCUUUUAUACGGGAAGAAAAACACCUACGUGUAGGUGACUGACGGUACCGUAAGAAUAAGGACCGGCUAACUCCGUGCCAGCAGCCGCGGUAAUACGGAGGGUCCAAGCGUUAUCCGGAAUCAUUGGGUUUAAAGGGUCCGUAGGCGGGCUAUUAAGUCAGAGGUGAAAGUUUGCAGCUCAACUGUAAAAUUGCCUUUGAUACUGAUAGUCUUGAAUUGUAGUGAAGUGGUUAGAAUAUGUGGUGUAGCGGUGAAAUGCAUAGAUAUCACAUAGAAUACCGAUUGCGAAGGCAGAUCACUAACUAUAUAUUGACGCUGAGAGACGAAAGCGUGGGGAGCGAACGGGAUUAGAUACCCCGGUAGU